RNAcentral lists this unclassified non-coding RNA (361 nucleotides) under soil metagenome. RNAcentral's name for it is "partial contains 5.8S ribosomal RNA, internal transcribed spacer 2, and large subunit ribosomal RNA". The stretch from base 1 to 120 matches the Rfam family "5.8S ribosomal RNA", at positions 35 to 154 of the family's 154-position model. The record is from RNAcentral.
GAUGAAGAACGUAGCGAAAUGCGAUAAGUAAUGUGAAUUGCAGAAUUCAGUGAAUCAUCGAAUCUUUGAACGCACCUUGCGCUCCUUGGUAUUCCGAGGAGCAUGCCUGUUUGAGUGUCAUUAAUAUAUCAACCUUCUCUUUUUUGAGUUGUUUGGAUGUGGGGGUUGCUGGCCUCUUAAAUGAUUCAGCUCCCCUGAAAUGCAUUAGCAGAACAACCUGUUCAUUAGCGUGAUAAUUAUCUAUGCUAUUGAAUGUGAGGGCAGUUCAGCUUUCUAACCGUCCUUGGACAAUUCAUCAUUAAUGUGACCUCAAAUCAGGUAGGACUACCCGCUGAACUUAAGCAUAUCAAUAAGCGGAGGA